CCUAUGAGGAAAAGGACAUGACUAUCCUACCUUGACCCCUCGUGCGCAGAGCUUCCCAGGGGGGAUUAAUUCUCGAAAAAGGGAGGAAGUCCCCAACCGAUCUUUGCUUCUAUUACAAACUUCAGCAACCCUUGGGCGCCCUACACCUGCUAUCUAAAUAAAAAAAGCAAGAGGGGACGUCCAUGAGGGUUUCAGGGGCUACGUCUCACAAACCUUUUAUCACGAGAUAAAAUAUGAAACGUGGGACUGGAGAAUUCCGUCAAAAUAGGAAUGCUGCACAGGGGGCCAGGGCAGUCCAAGAAAAAAGAUUUAUCACUCUAACAGAAUUGAACAGGUGUGAACUACCGAUUGUCGCUGCCAGGCGGGGAACCAACCAACCGGAACAUACA
RNAcentral lists this unclassified non-coding RNA (389 nucleotides) under Trigonosciadium komarovii. Its description in RNAcentral is "Mandenovia komarovii partial external transcribed spacer". Lineage: Eukaryota; Viridiplantae; Streptophyta; Magnoliopsida; Apiales; Apiaceae. The record is from RNAcentral.